Molecule: small RNA, 5436 nt
Filed under: Rattus norvegicus (Norway rat)
Lineage: Eukaryota; Metazoa; Chordata; Mammalia; Rodentia; Muridae
Description: uncharacterized LOC108352583
Source: RNAcentral
UAAAUGUCAAAAAUGAGAAGCCGUCCCAGGUGGCUGAUGUCCCACCACAGCAGACACCUCCGACACCUCCUGAGACCCUACUCUUCCAGUUUAAAGAUGAGAGCUAUACCCCAGGGCUCAGAUUGUCACCCGCCCAGAUUGUCACUGAUGCCCACACAUGGGGAACUUGGGUCCAGUUUCAUUCAUGUCCCUUCUCCUUUGCUGUCUCCCUGUUCUGCAUGGUGUUUUCCCAGUCUGCGAUGUGCACUGUGAAAGAAAGGUUUGACCAGACACACAGGGUGUGGCUCCUGAUGUCUCUUACAUACAGCACAGCUCAGAGUGCAGUAUGGGGACAGUGUGGACAGGGGUGUGCUCUGCCGUUCUGCUGGUUCUCAUGCUCAGUGAGGGCUCCACCACCCUUUCCUCACCAAGUCAGGGGUGUGCCUCAUACGGAGCUUCUCGAAGUUCAAUAUUUUCUAGAGAUUCCCACAAGAGUCCACCAUUCAAAGAAAUUCUAGGGCGGGAUUAGCAGCCAGGCCAGGAUAAGGGUGUCCUCUGGAUGUCAGGGUGGAGGGUGUGAUGAGCUUCGGGUCUUCAGGUACCUCUUAUUUUCUUCAAGUACCUGCUGUUUCCUGUCUCCUUAAGCACUGGGCUUCCCCUUAAUACCACUCUCCCAUGCACACAGGCAUCUGGGGCUCUCUCUGUGUUCUAAUUCACAAUGAAAGCAUUUUAGACUUAAGGAUUACUUCUGGAAAAGAAUCAAAAAACUUCCUAAUAAAGUAAGUGCUGAACAGAGUCAAGCGUGUCCUAAAUCUUCUGGGUAAUUUUGUGCCACCAGCUGAAGUCUCAGCCUACAGAAAGUAAAUACGGGGCUCGUGAAUCUUGGCUGCCUGCCGGCCUUGACUCACCAAGCGAGCAAACAAAUUUACCAAUUGUGAUGCGGGAGCCCAUGGGUACCUACCUCGGUACAAAAUACACUUGGGGGAUUGUUUGAGGCACAAACAAACAGAAAAUGUGUGGGGCUUGUCCCUGCUCUUCCCCCCUCCCACUUUCUCCUUGGCUUUUCCUUCACCUGAAGGCAAGUCUGAGUCAGCUCAGCAGGCUGUUUGGUGGAUGGACUCAUUACAAUGAAAUGCACCCCUGUGGUCAUCACAGGCACUCUUUUAGCUGUUGUUUUCCCACAGAAAAACCUUUAAUGUUGGGAGUUGGCCAGGUGGGUGGCCCAUGCCUUUAACCCCACUACUUGGGAGACAGAAGCAGGAGGAUCUCUGUGAGUCCACCAGCCUGGCCUGCACAACAAGUCCCAGGGCAGCAGCCAGGACAAGGUGCAAAUCCCAGGAACCCUCUGUGUUUCUGCUUAACACAUGACAGAGCUGAAGAAACUCUGGAGUGACUUUUGCUCCCUUGAAGAACGGAUACCCUCCCCUAACAGUUGCACCAGAAUCUAGAACAUUCCCGUGGCGGCUUGAAAUGAAGCCACCUCCACUUCAGGUGGUUCUAAUCUUUUUUUUUUUUUAAGUUAUCACCAGGGUAUAAUAUUGUAAUUUUGAGUUCAUAGUUCAUGUGUAAAUUGAAAGUAGAAGCUGGACAGACAGAAUUGUAAGAGGCAGGAGAGAUUCCAUUAGUUUGUUCAACAAAUAUUGAUUGACCGGCAGCUGAAGUGCUUGGCCGUAACAGAAGUGCAGCUCCUCUCUAAUGGGCUGUUCCUCCUUGGGGAGGGGAGGGGGGGGGAGGGAAGGGAAAAGAGAAGAAUAAAAGUCUGGUGGAUGUACAGUGCGAGUGUGAAACACAGCAAGAGCACCUACAAGCCCGUACUGUGAAGAAGGCACAGAGAAGUAGCAUGGGCUGGAGAUGAGAGUGGCGAUUACAGAGGUCGGUCAGGAUGGAUAAAGCGGUGUCUACGGUAUGUCACUUCUCCAGGGAAGAGUGUUCAAGGUUAGCCUGGGCUGCAUAGUGAAAUCUUUUCUUGACAAAAGCAGAAGUUGGGCAGAGACCCGUAAAUGUGUUGGUGGUCUGCAUAUCCGCAGUUAAACUUCAUAGCCCUUCCGGGUGAUGCGCAUACAGGAAUGGUGGUGUUACUGUGUUCCAAGGGUACAGGUUUUGUGAUGUCAGAAGGUGACCCUCCAGGCCCUUGUGUAGCAUGAGUCAAGGACAGGUGGUUUCUAUCACCGAGUGCCUGAAAAACAAGGAACUAUGACCUUGAGGCCAAUGACCAAGGCGUUUGUCACUGCUCAGCAAGGUGGCUUUGAAUGCUAGAAGUUAAAAAUGAAUUAAAAACCAGUGAGAUGGGAGGGUAUGGUCGUGGUUUCUCUCAGUUUGAAUACUGCAAGGCCAACUGACAAAUGGGGGAGCCACUUCCUAUCACUCUUAAGACCACAGGACCCAAGAAGAUGAGUGUUGUUCAAAGCCCAUGCGCUGGCUGCUGGCAGUCACCUCCUGGAGAGUAAGGGACAGAGGAGAAAAUAUAAGAACAAACAAUGCAGACCUGGUGUCCAUACAGGUAAGCUGAGGGACUCUUCCUGUGCUCUCAGAUAUGGUGGCCCGUGUAUGACUACCCACACAGAGUCAGGACACCAGGUUAGUGAGCCAAGAGCCAGCUUACUUUUCAAGAGACCAGGGGUGGGUGGGUGCGUUGAGUGGGGACUUCUAAAAAGUUCCUCUUUCUCUCUAUCCUACUCAAAACCAAGGACUGCACAUCCCUUUAAGGCAGCAGAAGACUUGUGUGACGGCCUGUAACUGAACCAGUGGGAAGAGGAGGAAUUUUGAGAGAUGACAGAUACCAUGCAUUGAGGACGUAGAACCUGAAGCCUUCAGGACGGGCUGCGAUUGGUGAGUUCUCUAGUUUUUAAUCUGUUUUUGAGAAGGAGAGAGAUGAUAAGAUUGCAUCUCUGCGGCUGAAGGGGAACUAGAACCUGUGGUUAUUCUCAGUUCCCAGUCUUUAAAGUUGGGUGGGGAAUGAGCGCGCACACUGGCUCAUGAACAAAGCUCUGUGAAGAAAUCCCACAGACGAUGGAUGGGCUUCUCAGCAGUCUACGCUCCCUGCGGGUUGAGACUGGACAGCCGAUAUGCACUGUCGCUGACGUUGGGCACUGAAACCGGGACCCGCUCUGGGUGGUGAUGGGUGCUGGGAGGCAGCCGUUUGUGGUUCUUCGCCCGGGCACAGAAGUGUACUACUUCCUAAUCUCUGCCUUCGAAAGGCUUUGUGGGCUUCAAACUCUCCGGGUUUGAAGCAGAUAUGUUGUAUUUAAAACCCGGAAGACUGACAUAAAGGGUUUUCUCUGAAGAUUACAGGAAUGAGCUGACUUCCUGGUUCAGGGACCGCCCAGCUGGUAAAGGAAAUGCAGAUUCUGGCCAUGUGCUGAUGGCCACCAGGAAGACUGCUGUUCAGAGCGUGUAACAGACACUCAUUCAUGCUAGAAGAAAUCCCAGCUGCCCACUCUUUUGGGAAUGAGAGGUUCGAGCCACAAACUGCACAAUGGAAGCAUGACUUGGGAGUCUUACUGAAUUCUCCUCCAGUGGCCAGGAAGAACAGCCUUUGCUAAUUACCUAGAGGAGUUCACAGGCCUCCGGAGACACGGACACAUACACCAUGAGAGGCAUGACACGCACGUAAGCACAUCCUGUGAUCAGCAUCACCACCUUUUGGCCCACAGCAGUGUUCAGACCUGUCGGCACCUGAAACCUUCCCUCCAAGUGUUACUGGCUUCCUGAGCCAACUGCAAGAUCAGACUGAUUUUGGCAAAAGCGAAGCGUUUGGGGGAGGUUCCCCAUUCUUUCAUCUGACCUGUAGAGCCACUUCUUGGCAGCAUCUACCCCCUUCCCACAGCAGGGCCUCCCGACCGUGGCUGUCCCCUGGCAGGGUGUGCGCUCCCUUCAGGUGGCUGUCACCCUUUCUGGGCUCAGGCACCUCCACCAGCUGCUCCAGCUGUGUUUGCCCUGUGUAUACUGGGAAGGUUUUAUGGGCCUAUUACACCCUAGGCCAUCCUUGACCCUGGAUCUAAGACUGUUCUUUCAUUCCAAAUGACAACAGUGCCUAGGUUUUCCCUGACAAGAAACAAACCGAACCCUGGUUCAAACAACACAAAACUAUCUUCCAAGUCGACAGCAGGUGGACCAAUGAGAAGACGGCUGUGACAGCUGGAAGGAGCACUCGCUGUUCUCAUGAGCUCUCAGGCUGCUCACCUGUGAACAGCUGGACACUCGAGGUAAGUUUCCCACGCGCCGACAGGCACUACAAUGUCUGCACUUAGCUCUGCAGAAUGAACCCAUGAAUAGACGCCCUUCUCCUAGGGAUUUAAACCAUGUUUUAUAUUUAAAUCUUGCAAUGUUGAACAGCAUCCUUGUCUUAUUUCUAUUGCUGCCCUGACCAAAAGCAACACUGAGGAGAAGAGGUCUAAUAAGACUCAGAACUCCAGUUUACAGUCCAUUGUGGGGGAAGCCAAGACAGGAACCUGAGGCAUCAUGGACCCAUAACAAAUUCAAGCAUCAGUUUUUAUCUACAAAAUGUGACAGUAAUACACACACACACACACACACACACACACACACACACACACAGAGAGAGAGAGAGAGAGAGAGAGAAACAAGUGUGCAUGGAGAUGCUGAGGUGAGAGUAAGUCAGAACUGGAGUUGGGGAGUAUCUCAGUGGUACCAGGUGAGCAUGCAGGGAGCCUCGGGCUCCACCCCCACUGCUGCAAACUAGAAUUAAAGAAAAUAGCUGGACAGCAAACAGUGAAAAGGAUUCUCAGUAAAUGCCCCCUGUUUUAAAUUUAGCUAUUGGAGUUAACCUUUAGAUACUGCAUUUAUCUAAAGGUUAUAUAAAAGCACAUUCUUUGGUUUAGAUAAAGCUCAGUAAAAUUCCGGGAUGUUAGUCUCAUUCUAUUAACCAAGACUCCAGUCUAGUACUGGGCCUGCUCAGGUUGGGGAACACAGAAAUCAGUCAUGGAUCUCUCUUAGGGAGUUACCACCUCAGGGGAAGCUAGUUCUACAACUGAAUCAGAGCCACGUGGGACAUACUCAUUGGGAAAGUGGUUCCUGACCUGCUGUGGCUGCAGCAGAGAAGGCGGCAGAAGCCUCCAGACCUGGAUGAGGAACAGAGCUGAAACCGACAAGAACUGCAGUGAAGCCCCUGCACCAUCUCCUGGCCUUUGAAGGCUCCAGAGCCCAGCCUUCCUACUGCGCAGUUAGUGGCUCUCCUGAAGAAUAGACAGAGUUGCCAAGAGUUACAGUCGCCCCACGCAAGGUCAGAAAAGGAGAAAAAAAAGAAUACUUAUCGGUGACAUUGGGAGUGUGAAGGUUUGCCAAUCCCGCAGAAGAUUCACUCCUUAGCAAUACAGCUGACAUUCUAAAAACAUCUUUCCAUUUUACACUGCAUUUUCUCCAGUGACACUUUUGAUUUUAUCAGUAGCACAGGAUGUUACGUACUAGAGACAAACUGCCCACCACCAAGCCACAGUA